Long non-coding RNA from Haliaeetus leucocephalus (bald eagle), 102 nucleotides. RefSeq lists it as uncharacterized. The record is from RefSeq and is a predicted model, not a curated record. Lineage: Eukaryota; Metazoa; Chordata; Aves; Accipitriformes; Accipitridae. The transcript is spliced from 3 exons.
UCCCCCUUCUUUCCACACAACUUGUCAGCAUUAUGGCUACACCAGCUGAAGAAGUGUUGAUUAAGGCCAUCUACCCCAGUCUAUGUAUGUCCUUAAAUGCAG